CCCCCUUCACAGGGCGCGUGUCGCACGUAUGUUAUACGCACAGGUCUCCGAUAGCAACGAACGUGACCGUACUCUAUUGUUGCAGCGACAAUACCUUUCAACGGGUAUUACCGCUGCUUAGCAAGAUUCGUCUUGCAUUAAACUAUAGAGACCGCUGUUUCUUCUUUAAACCAGAGGAAGGAUACGGCAAUAACAGGUCUGUGAUGCCCUCAGAUGUUCCGGGCUGCACACGUGCUACAAUGAUCAUUGCACUGUGCAUCUAACCCAAUGUGCGCGGACGCCGCCGUGCGUAUAUACUUUAUUGUGUAUGCGUAUCGUGCGUGCGACCGCGCCGAACCUGCUUCGAAAGUAAACAUUUCCAGCGGGUAAUCCAUUAGAAGUAAUGACUCGCAUAGACCAUGGCACACUAUAUGUACCCGCGGGUUCUACCCGGCUCGCCUUUGUGUGAGUGCAGUGCGUAGCUCGUUGUUUGGUACGUGCCACUCCGUAUUAAUUCAUACGUGGGGAUAGAUCAUUGUUUAAUUGUUGGUCUCGGUCUUAACUAGGAAUGCCUUGUACGGGUCUUUGGUUCAACAUACCACCCGGAAUACGUCCCUGCCCUUUGUACACACCGCCCGUCGCUCUUACCGAUGGAUUAUACUAUGAAUCUAUAGGACUGCCAAAGUUGCUCUUCGCGGCGCGCUUAGUGGAAAUAUAUAUGAAUAGUG
This 707-nucleotide ribosomal RNA is filed under the name Ammonia sp. genotype T6. Its description in RNAcentral is "SSU rRNA". It matches the Rfam family "Eukaryotic small subunit ribosomal RNA", at positions 1303 to 1768 of the family's 1831-position model. Lineage: Eukaryota; Foraminifera; Rotaliida; Rotaliidae. The record is from RNAcentral.